UGAGGAAUAUUGGACAAUGGAGGCAACUCUAAUCCAGCCAUGCCGCGUGAAGGACUAAGGCCCUAUGGGUCGUAAACUUCUUUUGACGCAGAGCAAUAAGGAUUACGUGUAGUCUGAUGAGAGUAUGCGUCGAAUAAGCAUCGGCUAACUCCGUGCCAGCAGCCGCGGUAAUACGGAGGAUGCAAGCGUUAUCCGGAUUUAUUGGGUUUAAAGGGUGCGUAGGCGGAUGGGUAAGUCAGCGGUGAAAUGUCCCGGCUCAACCGGGGAACUGCCAUUGAUACUGCCGGCCUUGAGUUCACACAAGGAAGGUGGAAUUCGUCGUGUAGCGGUGAAAUGCUUAGAUAUGACGAAGAACUCCGAUUGCGAAGGCAGCCUUCUGGGGUGUUACUGACGCUGAGGCUCGAAAGUGCGGGAAUCAAACAGGAUUAGAUACCCUGGUAGU
This 442-nucleotide ribosomal RNA is filed under the name uncultured bacterium. RNAcentral's name for it is "bacterial SSU rRNA". It matches the Rfam family "Bacterial small subunit ribosomal RNA", at positions 355 to 794 of the family's 1533-position model. The record is from RNAcentral.